Molecule: long non-coding RNA, 414 nt
Filed under: Nicotiana benthamiana
Lineage: Eukaryota; Viridiplantae; Streptophyta; Magnoliopsida; Solanales; Solanaceae
Description: long non-coding RNA (NBEN_LNC040188)
Source: RNAcentral
UCUCUACAACUUGGGACAUCUUCUCCGGUUAAUUCAAAUGAAACUCUGUGAUCAAUUACACCCUCCGCGAUUUCAGAUCCAUUAUCAGAAUUGGCAAGAGAUACUACCUCGGAGAUUUGGUUCUCCAAAAGGUAACAAUCUCGGGAAGGUGGUUCCCCACCAUUUGGAGUCACAGUCCCAGAACCUAGCCUUGAUAUGCCACCAUUUGGGGUCAGAGUUCCAGAGCCCAGCCUAGAGCCCCAGCCGCUACCUCCGAGAUUUGGUUCUCCAAAAGGUAACAAUCUCGGGAAGGUGGUUCCCCACCAUUUGGAGUCACAGUCCCAGAACCUAGCCUUGAAAUCCCACCAUUUGGUGUCAGAGUUCCAGAGCCCAGCCUAGAGCCCCAGCCACUCGGUGUCAAAGAUCCUGAGCCAA